GUCGCCACACUCUCACCAUGGCAACUAACCUAAAACCGGAAGAGGAAAGUCUCAAGUCGCAGUCCACCGACCCCUAUAUACCAGCCCCAGGCCGCAGCAAGGUAACAACAACCAAGCUGCAUUUGUACUGAAGGCUGGAAUAAAUUAACAUCUACUCUAUGCAUCAAAACCCCAGGGGCAUCAGAUAAGCCUCUACAAAAAUAAUUCAUCAAGCCUCAAAUCUACCGGGUCAUGCCACACCGCCCGUCGCUACUACCA
Molecule: ribosomal RNA, 258 nt
Filed under: Diplometopon zarudnyi
Lineage: Eukaryota; Metazoa; Chordata; Lepidosauria; Squamata; Trogonophidae
Description: partial 18S ribosomal RNA
Source: RNAcentral